This 468-nucleotide ribosomal RNA is filed under the name uncultured bacterium. RNAcentral describes it as "partial 16S ribosomal RNA". It matches the Rfam family "Bacterial small subunit ribosomal RNA", at positions 28 to 507 of the family's 1533-position model. The record is from RNAcentral.
GACGAACGCUGGCGGCGUGCUUAACACAUGCAAGUCGAACGGAAAGGCCCUGCUUUUGUGGGGUGCUCGAGUGGCGAACGGGUGAGUAACACGUGAGUAACCUGCCCUUGACUUUGGGAUAACUUCAGGAAACUGGGGCUAAUACCGGAUAGGAGCUCCUGCUGCAUGGUGGGGGUUGGAAAGUUUCGGCGGUUGGGGAUGGACUCGCGGCUUAUCAGCUUGUUGGUGGGGUAGUGGCUUACCAAGGCUUUGACGGGUAGCCGGCCUGAGAGGGUGACCGGCCACAUGGGGACUGAGAUACGGCCCAGACCCCUACGGGAGGCAGCAGGGGGGAAUAUGGCACAAUGGGCGGAAGCCUGAUGCAGCAACGCCGCGUGCGGGAUGACGGCCUGCGGGUUGUAAACCGCUUUCGCCUGUGACGAAGCGGGAGUGACGGUAAGGGGUAAAGAAGCACCGGCUAACUACGUG